This 231-nucleotide long non-coding RNA is filed under the name Pan troglodytes (chimpanzee). RNAcentral describes it as "long non-coding RNA NONPTRT012994". The record is from RNAcentral. Lineage: Eukaryota; Metazoa; Chordata; Mammalia; Primates; Hominidae.
UCAAGCGAUUCUCCUGUCUCAGCCUCCUGAGUAGCUGGGAUUACAGGCGUGUGCCACUAUGCCUGGGUAAUUUUUGUAUUUUUAGUAGAGUCAGGGGUCUCACUAUGUUGGCUAGGCUGGUUUUGAACUCCUAACCUCAACUCCUAACCUCAACCAUCAGUAGCUUUUUAGUUGUAUUAAUAAUAACAGCUGCCAUCCUUUCAUUUUACCAGAUGUUAAAAUAAAGUUUCU